This 117-nucleotide ribosomal RNA is filed under the name Pteropus alecto (black flying fox). Lineage: Eukaryota; Metazoa; Chordata; Mammalia; Chiroptera; Pteropodidae. RNAcentral also lists the same sequence under 1 other name. The record is from RNAcentral.
GUUUACUGCCAUGCCACCCUGAACGUGCCUGAUCCCAUUUGGUCUCGGAAGCUAAGCAGGGUCGGGCCUGGUUAGUACUUAUGGGAGACCACCUAGAAAGAUUGGAUGCUGUAGGCG